CCUGCCACCGUCCCCCUCCCCCUGCUACCGCCCCCCUCCCCCUGCAUCUGUAACCUGUAGGACACACGGAGGAUGGUUUAGUGAAGCCACGGGACCCAAGGCCCUCUGCUCCUUUGUGCUUUCAAGGAUGAGGCUGAGACAUCCCUGAGAAGACGGACAGGCAGGGAAACUUGACUGGAGCUCAAGAAGCCAGUGCCCUCUGCGCCCUCAUCCCAUCACACCCUGAACUGAAGGGGCAGCACGAGGUGGUUCUCCUCUCGAUCUGGCGGCAGAGUCGAAUCACCCCAGAGGUUUUGGCAAUGCCAGUGGCUGAGUCUCCCAGACUGAGAGGCAUCGGCUGAUUCAAGAUGUUCUGGGCAGGCUGGAGCCUGGUGGCACCGUGAAUUCCAAAAGGGCUUGGCUCAGCUGGGAUCUUCGGUGACUGUUAGAGGUCUGGAGUCACUGAGCUGGGAAGGCGAGAAGAUUCCCUGGGGCUGUGUCUUGGCGAGUCGGAUGGGACUUUUCUGGUUGUCACAAGAAUUUGGCUGAAGCUGAUAAAAUGACAAGAGCCCCUCAUUCUUGAGGGGUGCAAGGCUCCUGGUCCCCUCCAACUGAAAGUGCAGAAUGUCCCCAGCUGUCAACCCCAUCCCACCCACCUCCAGCCUAAAUGGGGUGCCUGGGGGUCAUCAGUGAGUGGUUGCCCUGGCAUUCAGGCGGCUGGAGACUGGCUGCAGCAUCCCCCAGGGCAGAAUGAAGAGGGGGACAGUGGGGCAACCUGCGUGGACGCCCUUAGGCAUGGUUGGCCUUCUCUUCACUUCCCUGGAAGCCUUCGAAGCCAGGACCCAUGUUGAUGCCCCAUUUUCAUCCUCCCAAGAAGCGUGUGCUGCCUGUCAGGAGAACCAGCCCCUUGGACGGCAGCUGUUCUUAUCACGGGACAGAAAUCAGCAGAAGAAUCACUCUUUCUCGCCACUGAGAGCAAAUAAAGAUGGCCUUGGCAGAAAUACGUGCUAGGAUCACUGGCUUUUGUGUGUGGGUGGGUGGC
This 1021-nucleotide long non-coding RNA is filed under the name Bos indicus x Bos taurus (hybrid cattle). RNAcentral describes it as "lncRNA (ENSBIXG00005003866.1)". Lineage: Eukaryota; Metazoa; Chordata; Mammalia; Artiodactyla; Bovidae. The record is from RNAcentral.